RNAcentral lists this ribosomal RNA (253 nucleotides) under uncultured bacterium. RNAcentral describes it as "partial 16S ribosomal RNA". It matches the Rfam family "Bacterial small subunit ribosomal RNA", at positions 524 to 776 of the family's 1533-position model. The record is from RNAcentral.
UACGUAGGGCGCAAGCGUUGUCCGGAAUUACUGGGCGUAAAGCGCACGCAGGCGGUCUUUUAAGUUUGACGUGAAAGCUCCCGGCUUAACUGGGAGAGGUCGUUGAAGACUGGAAGACUUGAGGCAAUGAGAGGGGUGUAGAAUUCCCGGUGUAGUGGUGGAAUGCGUAGAUAUCGGGGGGAAUACCAGUGGCGAAAGCGGCACCCUAGCGUUAGCCUGACGCUCAUGUGCGAAAGCGUGGGGAGCGAACGGG